Molecule: ribosomal RNA, 468 nt
Filed under: uncultured bacterium
Lineage: Bacteria
Description: partial 16S ribosomal RNA
Rfam family: Bacterial small subunit ribosomal RNA
Source: RNAcentral
GAUGAACGCUGGCGGCGUGCUUAACACAUGCAAGUCGAACGGUGAAGGCGGAGCUUGCUCUGCUGGAUCAGUGGCGAACGGGUGAGUAGCACGUGAGCAAUCUGCCCCUGACUCUGGGAUAAGCGCUGGAAACGGCGUCUAAUACUGGAUACGAGCUGCGAAGGCAUCUUCAGCAGCUGGAAAGAACUUCGGUCAGGGAUGAGCUCGCGGCCUAUCAGCUUGUUGGUGAGGUAACGGCUCACCAAGGCGUCGACGGGUAGCCGGCCUGAGAGGGUGACCGGCCACACUGGGACUGAGACACGGCCCAGACUCCUACGGGAGGCAGCAGUGGGGAAUAUUGCACAAUGGGCGAAAGCCUGAUGCAGCAACGCCGCGUGAGGGACGACGGCCUUCGGGUUGUAAACCUCUUUUAGCAGGGAAGAAGCGAAAGUGACGGUACCUGCAGAAAAAGCGCCGGCUAACUACGUG